Molecule: non-coding RNA, 58 nt
Organism: Dipodomys ordii (Ord's kangaroo rat)
Lineage: Eukaryota; Metazoa; Chordata; Mammalia; Rodentia; Heteromyidae
Source: Rfam
UGGCUCAGUGGUAGAGCGCUUGCCUUACAUGCAUGAGGCCCUGGGUUCGAUUCCUCAG